This 425-nucleotide ribosomal RNA is filed under the name uncultured bacterium. RNAcentral describes it as "bacterial SSU rRNA". It matches the Rfam family "Bacterial small subunit ribosomal RNA", at positions 355 to 772 of the family's 1533-position model. The record is from RNAcentral.
UGGGGAAUUUUGGACAAUGGGCGCAAGCCUGAUCCGGCCAUGCCGCGUGCAAGAUGAAGGCCUUCGGGUUGUAAACUGCUUUUGUACGGAACGAAAAGACUCCUUCUAAUAAAGGGGGUCCAUGACGGUACCGUAAGAAUAAGCACCGGCUAACUACGUGCCAGCAGCCGCGGUAAUACGUAGGGUGCAAGCGUUAAUCGGAAUUACUGGGCGUAAAGCGUGCGCAGGCGGUUAUGCAAGACAGAGGUGAAAUCCCCGGGCUCAACCUGGGAACUGCCUUUGUGACUGCAUAGCUAGAGUACGGUAGAGGGGGAUGGAAUUCCGCGUGUAGCAGUGAAAUGCGUAGAUAUGCGGAGGAACGCCGAUGACGAAGGCAAUCCACUGGACCUGUACUGACGCUCAUGCACGAAGGCGUGGGGAGCAAA